This 497-nucleotide ribosomal RNA is filed under the name uncultured bacterium. Its description in RNAcentral is "partial 16S ribosomal RNA". It matches the Rfam family "Bacterial small subunit ribosomal RNA", at positions 28 to 507 of the family's 1533-position model. The record is from RNAcentral.
GAUGAACGCUGGCGGCGUGCCUAAUACAUGCAAGUCGAGCGAACGGACGAGAAGCUUGCUUCUCUGAUGUUAGCGGCGGACGGGUGAGUAACACGUGGAUAACCUACCUAUAAGACUGGGAUAACUUCGGGAAACCGGAGCUAAUACCGGAUGAUAUUUUGAACCGCAUGGUUCAAAAGUGAAGGACGGUCUUGCUGUCACUUAUAGAUGGAUCCGCGCUGCAUUAGCUAGUUGGUAAGGUAACGGCUUACCAAGGCAACGAUGCAUAGCCGAACUGAGAGGGGGAUAGCCCACACGGGAACUGAGACGCGGACCAGACUCCUACGGGAGGCAGCAGUAGGGAACCUUCCGCAGUGGGCGAAAGCCUGACGGAGCAACGCCGCGUGAGUGAUGAAGGUCUUCGGAUCGUAAAACUCUGUUAUUAGGGAAGAACAGAUGUGUAAGGAACUGUGCACAUCUUGACGGUACCUAAUCAGAAAGCCACGGCUAACUACGUG